GCUUUCCUACGGGAGGCAGCAGUGGGGAAUAUUGCACAAUGGGCGGAAGCCUGAUGCAGCAACGCCGCGUGAAGGAAGAAGGGUUUCGGCUCGUAAACUUCUCUCAACAGGGACGAAAGAAAUGACGGUACCUGAAUAAGAAGCCCCGGCUAACUACGUGCCAGCAGCCGCGGGAAUACGUAGGGGGCAAGCGUUAUCCGGAAUUACUGGGUGUGAAGGGUGAGUAGGCGGCAUGGUAAGCCAGAUGUGAAAGCCUUGGGCUUAACCCGAGGAUUGCAUUUGGAACUAUCAAGCUGGAGUACAGG
Molecule: ribosomal RNA, 305 nt
Filed under: uncultured bacterium
Lineage: Bacteria
Description: bacterial SSU rRNA
Rfam family: Bacterial small subunit ribosomal RNA
Source: RNAcentral